This 88-nucleotide transfer RNA is filed under the name Candidatus Uhrbacteria bacterium. Its description in RNAcentral is "tRNA-Leu". It matches the Rfam family "tRNA". Rfam says of the family: Transfer RNA (tRNA) molecules are approximately 80 nucleotides in length. Their secondary structure includes four short double-helical elements and three loops (D, anti-codon, and T loops). The record is from RNAcentral. Lineage: Bacteria; Candidatus Uhriibacteriota.
GCGGACGUGGCGGAAUCUGGUAUACGCGCUAGCUUGAGGGGCUAGUGGUCGCAAGACCUUGGAGGUUCGAGUCCUCUCGUCCGCACCA